This 169-nucleotide non-coding RNA is filed under the name human gut metagenome. RNAcentral describes it as "malK-I RNA". It matches the Rfam family "malK-I RNA". The record is from RNAcentral.
CGGCCCGCGGCACUCCACUUCAUGCCGCCCGCCGGCAAAAGAUAAGGAGGAAUACCCGCUGUGGCUGGCGGUGCGGCAGUGUGGAGACCUGUCGUAAGGCACCGAGGGCAAUGCCCGUGCGAGGCCGUCUUUUGCGGAGGCAGGACGGUUACAGCCAAGACGUAUGGCA